RNAcentral lists this unclassified non-coding RNA (283 nucleotides) under Hevea brasiliensis (rubber tree). Lineage: Eukaryota; Viridiplantae; Streptophyta; Magnoliopsida; Malpighiales; Euphorbiaceae. The record is from RNAcentral.
GCAACCCAUGAAGAGUACAUAACUAGUAAUGUCCUUUAAGCAGUGUUUAUAGCACUGCUCAAAUGCAACACAAUUGAAAAAGAAAUCGGUCAUGAAGUCAUCUACUAUUAAGGGUGGUAUUCUAUGGAAUCCAUGUCUGAACUCAAUGUUCAGGAAGCUUUCAGUCUGAUUCCUUGGCUUGAACCGAAUUCCACUCAAACGAAGCUUCUUGGCAGAAUGGAUCAAUUGAAGAAAUGGGCUAGUAAUGGAAUUUUUACUAGGCUUUUGAGUUGGAGAGAUGAAA